RNAcentral lists this long non-coding RNA (1138 nucleotides) under Lonchura striata (white-rumped munia). RNAcentral describes it as "domestica (Bengalese finch) lncRNA (ENSLSDG00000003635.1)". Lineage: Eukaryota; Metazoa; Chordata; Aves; Passeriformes; Estrildidae. The record is from RNAcentral.
CUCCAGUGCUCUCUCCUCCCUGAUCUGGUGGCUGUGGAGCUGGGACGUGCUGCCAAGGAGCUGCCUGGGAUGCUGGAUCUGUUCCGGGAUGGAGGUCCAUCCCCGCAGCUCCCCAGCUCUGACCCUCCCUGUUCUCCACGGCAGCUCCGAGUGGACGAUCCAGCGGAAGCUGCGGGAAUUCUUUGCCAUCCCGCGGUGCCUGGUCAGCGUGUUCAGCCUGUUCCUGGUGGAGCUGAUCCGCUUCCUUGGCGAGGCCGUGGUCCAGGCGCUGGUGGUCGGUGUCCUGACAGCCAUCGGCGACCACGUGCUGAAGCCCUUCCUGGCGGCGGCGUUUCACAGCCUGCUGCAGCCACUCCUGCUCUUCCUGCUGAAGGUGCUGGGUGGUGUCCGGGACCUGACGGAUCCUGUGCUGGACGUGGUGGCUCGGGUGUGCUCCCAGCUGGCCGUGCUGCUCCGCGCCGUCCGGCUGGUGGAGGUCCGCCUGCGCCCGGACCUGCGGGCUGGCCCUGGCGAUGGUGGCGGAUGAGGACAGCCGUGGGUGGCCAGAUAAGAUAAGGAAAAAGAAUUCCUGGGAAUUGCAGAAGAGCAGGACCAGCUGCGGCCCAGGAGACACCGUUGUCUCCACGUGUGUCCAGGCAGGGGGCAGCUCAUGGUGUGCUGGGAGGGCAGUUUGGAUCUUCUAGUUCUGCAAAUAUAUCCUUAACUUAAUUAAAUUCCAAUUUUAUCCAUUGUAGCAUUGCUCCAAUGAGGUGUUUUUCCUCUUCCUGCCGGCGGAAACUGGGCUUCUCACUGACCAGGACUUCCCUGUGCAGUCUCUUGCCACCAGAUGGGCUCCACGGCUGGGGUGGUGCCCAGGGCCUGAGCCUCAAGCACUGCUGGGAGGGGACGGCUUCUGCCAGCUUCCAGCUCUCUGGGAUGGUCUCCAGAGCCGGUGGUAUGGGCCAGACUGGGAUCACAAUAUAACAGAGUAACCACCUCUGGGUUCCGAAGAACCGGUUCUGGCGCACAGUUUGGGUCGCGUAUUUCCGUCGGGAUGAGGCGGCCAAGGAGCCGAAUGGCGGCAGCAGAGCUCUGGGUGCGUUUCACAAACACUUGGAGGGGUCAGGGGCGGGACUGAGCUGUGUUUUGGGGCUCCCCC